This 477-nucleotide ribosomal RNA is filed under the name uncultured bacterium. Its description in RNAcentral is "bacterial SSU rRNA". It matches the Rfam family "Bacterial small subunit ribosomal RNA", at positions 30 to 507 of the family's 1533-position model. The record is from RNAcentral.
AUUGAACGCUGGCGGAAUGCUUUACACAUGCAAGUCGAACGGUAGAGGGGGCAACCCCUCGAGAGUGGCGAACGGGUGAGUAAUAUAUCGGAACGUGCCCAGUCGUGGGGGAUAACGUAGCGAAAGUUACGCUAAUACCGCAUACGAUCUACGGAUGAAAGCGGGGGAUCGCAAGACCUCGCGCGAUUGGAGCGGCCGAUAUCAGAUUAGGUAGUUGGUGGGGUAAAGGCUCACCAAGCCAACGAUCUGUAGCUGGUCUGAGAGGACGACCAGCCACACUGGAACUGAGACACGGUCCAGACUCCUACGGGAGGCAGCAGUGGGGAAUUUUGGACAAUGGGGGCAACCCUGAUCCAGCAAUGCCGCGUGAGUGAAGAAGGCCUUCGGGUUGUAAAGCUCUUUGUCAGGGAGAAACAGCAGCUCUAACACAGUCUGCGAAUGACGGUACCUGAAGAAUAAGCACCGGCUAACUACGUG